UACAGAGGUCUCAAGCGUUGUUCGGAUUCAUUGGGCGUAAAGGGUGCGUAGGCGGCUCGGUAAGUCGGGUGUGAAAUCUUGGAGCUUAACUCCGAAACUGCAUUCGAUACUGCCGUGCUUGAGGACGGGAGAGGAGACUGGAAUUUACGGUGUAGCGGUGAAAUGCGUAGAUAUCGUAAGGAAGACCAGUGGCGAAGGCGGGUCUCUGGACAGUUCCUGACGCUGAGGCACGAAGGCCAGGGGAGCAAACGGG
Molecule: ribosomal RNA, 253 nt
Filed under: uncultured bacterium
Lineage: Bacteria
Description: partial 16S ribosomal RNA
Rfam family: Bacterial small subunit ribosomal RNA
Source: RNAcentral